GAUGAAGAACGUAACGAAAUGCGAUAAGUAGUGUGAAUUGCAGAAUUCAGUGAAUCAUCGAAUCUUUGAACGCACAUUGCACCCUUUGGUAUUCCUUAGGGCAUGCCUGUUCGAGCGUCAUUUAAACCUUCAAGCUCAGCUUGGUGUUGGGUGACUGUCCGCUUCACCGCGGACUCGCCUCAAAAUUAUUGGCGGCCGGUACAUUGGCUUCGAGCGCAGCAGAAACGCGAACUCGGGCCCGUCGUAUUGGCUCCCAGAAGCUAUCUUCACAAUUUUGACCUCGGAUCAGGUAGGGAUACCCGCUGAACUUAAGCAUAUCAAUAAGCGGAGGA
RNAcentral lists this unclassified non-coding RNA (332 nucleotides) under soil metagenome. RNAcentral's name for it is "partial contains 5.8S ribosomal RNA, internal transcribed spacer 2, and large subunit ribosomal RNA". The stretch from base 1 to 120 matches the Rfam family "5.8S ribosomal RNA", at positions 35 to 154 of the family's 154-position model. The record is from RNAcentral.